This 485-nucleotide ribosomal RNA is filed under the name uncultured bacterium. Its description in RNAcentral is "bacterial SSU rRNA". It matches the Rfam family "Bacterial small subunit ribosomal RNA", at positions 28 to 497 of the family's 1533-position model. The record is from RNAcentral.
GAUGAACGCUAGCGGCAGGCUUAAUACAUGCAAGUCGAGGGGCAUCAAGGUACACGAAAGUGUAUUGUUGGCGACCGGCGGACGGGUGAGUAAUAGGUAGGUAACCUACCUCAUACUGAGGCAUAGCUGGGAGAAAUUCCAGGUAAUUCCUCAUGAGGUUAUAUGACACAUGUGAUAUAAUCAAAGGUAUCGCAAGGUACUGGUAUGAGAUGGGCUUACUGACCAUUAGCUAGUUGGUGAGAUAAGAGCUCACCAAGGCGAAGAUGGUUAGGGGUUUUGAGAGAGAGAUCCCCCACAUUGGAACUGAGAUACGGUCCAGACUCCUACGGGAGGCAGCAGUAGGGAAUAUUGGGCAAUGGGCGGAAGCCUGACCCAGCCAUGCCGCGUGAAGGAAGACGGCCUUAGGGUUGUAAACUUCUUUACUAUGCGACUAACUAGAUUUACGAGAUAAUUCUAUAGAAUGUAGCAUAGCAAAAAGCACCGGA